UGCUGAUUAAAGUCUCCCUUUUUUCUUCAAAAAUUACUAAAUGAAUGACUUCUUAUGUGAAGCCUAUGGCAUGUGUGCCCGCGUGUGUUUAUUAAGAAAGGUAUGAGAGAACGUGUGUUUUUCUUUAUAGCAAAAUGGACUUUUCUGGAUUUGAUCUCCCACAAAAGGUCUACGGGGACUAAUAAUAUGGUAUAUUUGCUACAGGAGAAAAUUCUGAAUUAACCUUAAAGGAAGUGUCUUUGGAAUCUGAAUGCAGAAUCGGUGAAUGAGCAGUGUCAGUGUUGCACCAUGCACAGUUCCUGGAUUGGCUGUAAUUAAGUCUUGGCCUGAGGUGAACCCCCCCCCGAAAUGCAGGACUACUUCACCAGAUAGCUUUGGAUGUGGACUCAGGUGGAGUCAGAGCUAAGGACAGAUGGACACGGGGACGUUACAAGGCUAGACAGUUAGGUGAGAGAUAAGUACUGAGGAUUGUAUAACCUGAUCUGUGCAUUGUGAAUUUAUAGUCAGUGUUCCCAAGUGUGUCAUUGUAUAUAGGGGUUGUCUGCUUCUGCCUCAUCUGUAGAUGUCUGUCUAAUAAAAAUGUGUCAGGCCUGUCUGGGGCUUUGUUUUAGGCUAAAUUACACCUCCUGCCUAUUGUUACUGCUGAAUCGUGGCAGACCCCCAAAAAACUUAGUACAUUUGAGUAGUUUCUAAGCAUGAAUUUUUUAAUGUUAUUCUUCUCCAACGAGGAGGAAUCACAGAGAUUGGCACUCGUUUUUAAGGUUUUUUAUUUAAUAGCUUCCAUUAUGAAAAUAUGUGCAACUUCCGAUGAAAUUUGCGGCUCUAUAUUUAAUAUUUCUGUCAAUAAUCAAAUUUAGUGUAAACAGCAGUGCAUUUUUUCAUAGUUAUAAGGAAGACAUAAGUGUGUGCCUUCAAGGGAAACUGCAGCAAUAUAAUAACAUCAAAAUCUACAGUAGGUCUGUGUCAGCCAUUGGUUUUCAUUUCAAACUGCAGACU
Long non-coding RNA from Lepisosteus oculatus (spotted gar), 996 nucleotides. RefSeq lists it as uncharacterized. The record is from RefSeq and is a predicted model, not a curated record. NCBI's taxonomy places the organism in Eukaryota, Metazoa, Chordata, Actinopteri, Semionotiformes, Lepisosteidae.